CGAGGCGUAGCUCAACUGGAUAGAGCAUCCCCCUCCUAAGGGGAAGGUUGUGGGAUCGUGCCCCACCGCUUCGGCCA
Molecule: transfer RNA, 77 nt
Filed under: Alteromonas sp. C1M14
Lineage: Bacteria; Pseudomonadati; Pseudomonadota; Gammaproteobacteria; Alteromonadales; Alteromonadaceae
Description: tRNA-Arg
Rfam family: tRNA
About the family: Transfer RNA (tRNA) molecules are approximately 80 nucleotides in length. Their secondary structure includes four short double-helical elements and three loops (D, anti-codon, and T loops). Further hydrogen bonds mediate the characteristic L-shaped molecular structure. tRNAs have two regions of fundamental functional importance: the anti-codon, which is responsible for specific mRNA codon recognition, and the 3' end, to which the tRNAs corresponding amino acid is attached (by aminoacyl-tRNA synthetases). tRNAs cope with the degeneracy of the genetic code in two manners: having more than one tRNA (with a specific anti-codon) for a particular amino acid; and 'wobble' base-pairing, i.e. permitting non-standard base-pairing at the 3rd anti-codon position.
Source: RNAcentral